CCUUAGCGCGGUGGUCCCACCUGACCCCAUGCCGAACUCAGAAGUGAAACGCCGUAGCGCCGAUGGUAGUGUGGGGUCUCCCCAUGCGAGAGUAGGGAACUGCCAGGCA
This 109-nucleotide ribosomal RNA is filed under the name Escherichia coli. Lineage: Bacteria; Pseudomonadati; Pseudomonadota; Gammaproteobacteria; Enterobacterales; Enterobacteriaceae. The record is from RNAcentral.